AACCAUAGAAACCUGCGGAGUACCUGCGGAGGGAUCAUUACCGAGUUUACAACUCCCAAACCCCUGUGAACAUACCACUUGUUGCCUCGGCGGAUCAGCCCGCUCCCGGUAAAACGGGACGGCCCGCCAGAGGACCCCUAAACUCUGUCUCUAUAUGUAACUUCUGAGUAAAACCAUAAAUAAAUCAAAACUUUCAACAACGGAUCU
Molecule: unclassified non-coding RNA, 207 nt
Filed under: soil metagenome
Description: partial contains 5.8S ribosomal RNA, internal transcribed spacer 2, and large subunit ribosomal RNA
Source: RNAcentral